This 773-nucleotide ribosomal RNA is filed under the name uncultured bacterium. RNAcentral describes it as "bacterial SSU rRNA". It matches the Rfam family "Bacterial small subunit ribosomal RNA", at positions 9 to 779 of the family's 1533-position model. The record is from RNAcentral.
GAGUUUGAUCCUGGCUCAGAUUGAACGCUGGCGGCAUGCUUUACACAUGCAAGUCGAACGGCAGCGCGGGGCAACCUGGCGGCGAGUGGCGAACGGGUGAGUAAUACAUCGGAACGUACCCAGAAGUGGGGGAUAACGUAGCGAAAGUUACGCUAAUACCGCAUACGUUCUACGGAAGAAAGUGGGGGACCGCAAGGCCUCAUGCUUUUGGAGCGGCCGAUGUCUGAUUAGCUAGUUGGUGAGGUAAAGGCUCACCAAGGCGACGAUCAGUAGCUGGUCUGAGAGGACGACCAGCCACACUGGGACUGAGACACGGCCCAGACUCCUACGGGAGGCAGCAGUGGGGAAUUUUGGACAAUGGGCGCAAGCCUGAUCCAGCAAUGCCGCGUGAGUGAAGAAGGCCUUCGGGUUGUAAAGCUCUUUUGUCAGGGAAGAAACGGCCGGGGUUAAUACCCUUGGCUAAUGACGGUACCUGAAGAAUAAGCACCGGCUAACUACGUGCCAGCAGCCGCGGUAAUACGUAGGGUGCAAGCGUUAAUCGGAAUUACUGGGCGUAAAGCGUGCGCAGGCGGUUUUGUAAGUCUGACGUGAAAUCCCCGGGCUCAACCUGGGAAUUGCGUUGGAGACUGCAAGGCUGGAGUCUGGCAGAGGGGGGUAGAAUUCCACGUGUAGCAGUGAAAUGCGUAGAGAUGUGGAGGAACACCGAUGGCGAAGGCAGCCCCCUGGGUCAAGACUGACGCUCAUGCACGAAAGCGUGGGGAGCAAACAGGAUU